Molecule: transfer RNA, 73 nt
Filed under: Pteropus alecto (black flying fox)
Lineage: Eukaryota; Metazoa; Chordata; Mammalia; Chiroptera; Pteropodidae
Rfam family: tRNA
About the family: Transfer RNA (tRNA) molecules are approximately 80 nucleotides in length.
Source: Rfam by way of RNAcentral
GGUUCUGUAGUGUAGUGAUUAGCACGUCUGCUUUACAUGCAGAAGGUCUGGGGUUCAUGCUCCAGUGGAGCCA